This 25-nucleotide non-coding RNA is filed under the name Rattus norvegicus (Norway rat). The record is from RNAcentral. Lineage: Eukaryota; Metazoa; Chordata; Mammalia; Rodentia; Muridae.
UACAGUAAGUGAGGAAACUUGUAGC